GUGGAAUUAUCACCGUGGCUAAUACCGUCUUGUUAAUUAAAGACUGGAAAUUGGAGAAAAAUUCUGGAGUUUUAACAUGGUUCAGACAUUUGGUGUGCCUUUAAGGAUCUCUAACAGGCCAGUUAGGGCUGAAAACAAAAAGCUCUCCUAGAAAGCAUGUAAAAACACGUACUGCUGUCCUUGUGCGUGUGUCCCCAGAUCUGCAGCAUUGUCCUGAAAUGCAUCCUCGUGCCCUGGUAGCCAGCGAUGAGUCCAUUGCAGUUUCAUCUCUUUCAGGUGAUCAGAGGAAAACUCAAGGUGGCUUUCCCCAGUGUAACCCACAACUCAUUUGGGAUGUUUAAAAUAUGAAAAAAAUGUAAUGGAGAAAAGGUCAAUAAAGUUAUCCUUACUUUUUCUCAGAGUUUAA
Passer domesticus (house sparrow) is the source of this 406-nucleotide long non-coding RNA. RefSeq lists it as uncharacterized. The record is from RefSeq and is a predicted model, not a curated record. Lineage: Eukaryota; Metazoa; Chordata; Aves; Passeriformes; Passeridae. The transcript is spliced from 2 exons.